RNAcentral lists this ribosomal RNA (253 nucleotides) under uncultured bacterium. Its description in RNAcentral is "partial 16S ribosomal RNA". It matches the Rfam family "Bacterial small subunit ribosomal RNA", at positions 524 to 776 of the family's 1533-position model. The record is from RNAcentral.
UACAGAGGGUGCGAGCGUUGUUCGGAAUUAUUGGGCGUAAAGGGUGCGUAGGCGGCCUGACAAGUCUGAUGUGAAAUCCCUGGGCUCAACCCAGGGCCCGCAUCGGAAACUGUCGGGCUUGAGUAUGGGAGAGGUGAGUGGAAUUUCCGGUGUAGCGGUGAAAUGCGUAGAUAUCGGAAGGAACACCUGUGGCGAAAGCGGCUCACUGGACCAUUACUGACGCUGAGGCACGAAAGCUAGGGGAGCAAACAGG